Molecule: long non-coding RNA, 2612 nt
Filed under: Mus musculus (house mouse)
Lineage: Eukaryota; Metazoa; Chordata; Mammalia; Rodentia; Muridae
Description: long non-coding RNA chr11:9516513-9519125
Source: RNAcentral
GGGUAUUUAUAUUUAUUUAUUUAUUAUUCUUGAUUUCUAUAUCAUUAGUUUCUGCUGUGAUCUUAAUUGUUCUUUUCUAUUUACCAACUUCAGGUUUUCCUGUUCUUCUUCUUCUAGGCCCUAAGGUAUACCAUUAAGUUAUUUUUUUCAGAUUUCUCUGAGUUUUGAAUGCAGGCAUCUAUAGGUUUAAGUUUCUUCUUAGGACUCUUUUCAGUUCUCUUUAGGUUUGAUACUUUGUAUUUUCAGUUUCAUUGAAUUAUUGGACUAAAAAGUCUUCUUCUUGAUUUGUUGAAUGAAUUAUUAAUUAAAUAGUGUAUUGUUCAAAGCAUGUGUUUGUGUUCUAUGGUUUCUCUUGCUGUGUGCUUCAGGUUAUAUCUCAUUGUUAUGAGAUAAAAUAUAAGAAUUUUCUUCAUGAUCUUUACAUUUAUUAGGCUUGGCUUUGUGUUCUACUGUAUAGCCUCACUAGGGAAAGUUCCAUGUACUGCUUAUACUGUUUGUUCUAAGCAUUCAGAUGAGAUGAUGUACAAACAUAUGUUCAGUUGUUUGAUCUAUGAUGUCAUUUAACUUAUGUUUCUCUAUAGGAAUGAUGAGCCAUCUAUUGACGAGAAUGGGGUAUUAAAGUUGUUUGGAUUAAUAUGUGUCUUUUCAUCUAGUUUUGUUUUAUGAACUCAUGUGUGCCAGCAUUCAUUGAACAUUUGUUUACAACUGAAAAAGCCUCUUGCUGGAUUGUUCCCUUAGUCAGUAUGAGUUACUUUAAGACUAAUUUUGGUUUGAAGUCUAUUUUGACACAUGUGAACAGUGACCAAUGCUUGCUUUAUUAUUCUAUUAGCUUAGAAUUCUUUUCCCAGGUUUUGUUUUUUGUUUUUUUUCCCCUUGAGGUUGUAUUUUUCUAAUUGUCUUUGAUGGUGAGGUACAUUUCUUUUGGAGGUAACACAUUGAUGGAUUCUCAUUUUAAACAAACAACUGCUAGUGCAUUUAGUGUUUAGGGAAUGAAGACCAUGUACAUUCAGCAUUAUUACUGAAAGGUGCAAAUGAACUUCAGUCAUUUUGUUGGUUUGGUAAAGUUUGUUUGUUUUUUUGUUUUUUUGUUUUUAAUAAUCCUCAUAUGAUUAACCACUGUCCUAUCACAGUUUCUUAUUUCUUUUCCUUUUUCUUGUUGCCUCAUGGAUGUGAAUAUUUUUCAUUUUGCUUUGAAAGAGUUCUUUUUUUUUAAAAAUAUUUUCUUUAUUUACAUUUCAAAUGUUAUCCCCUUUCCUAGUUUCCCUUCCAAAAAUCCCUUAUUCUCCCCCUCCCCCAGCCCCCUGCUUCCAAACCUACCCACUCCUGCUUCCUGGCCCAGGCAUUCCCCUAUACUGGGACAUAGAACCUUCACAGGACUAAGUGAAAGAGCUCUUUACCAAUUUAGGGCUUCCUUAGUAGCCACAGUUUCCUAGUUUCUAUUUAUCAUGGAAAGUAUUUUUUUUUAAUUUUUCAGUUGUUAUGGGUAGUUUUGUAGAAUAUAGUAAUUUGAGUUUACUGAUUUUAUCUUUAAUAGUUCGAAACAUAUCGCCCCAAGCCAAACAUGUUGUUCAUGUUUGAUCCUUUAGUUGCAACCUCAAAUCUCACAUUCUGUUUGUAGCUUCCCCUUUACUAUCUUUGUAAUUAUCUGAAUGUUCCAUUUCACUGCCUUGUCUUCAAACUCUAAAAGUUCCUCUUCUUGAUCCACUCUGUUAGGCUUUCCAAAAGAAACUUCAUUGGAAUUUUUGAAUUUUUCAUUUCCAUUUCAGCAUAUUUUUCUCAGUAAGUCUAUUCCCCCCUGAAGUUUACGUUUAUAUAUUUACAUAUUCUUUCCUUAUUUCACUCAUAUGUUCUCUUUGUAUUCUUUCAUGUGUUAUGCCCUGUUAGAUUUCAUUGAACAUACUUGAAACAAUUUUUCUUUUGAAUUCUUUGUCUGGAGUUUUCUUGAAUUCAUUCUCAUUGGACAACACUACUAUGGGAUCAAUAAUGUUUUUAGGAGUAUUAAUACUUUGAAUUUUCUUGUAAUUAGGUUUUCCUUUGCAUGUACCCAUUGAGAAAAAUUGUUUGUGAGAUUUAAAAAGAUCAACCUUAUUAUUUGAGUGGACAUAUUUUCAGUGUUCCUGAAGGACUGGGUCUACCUGACAUAAUGCUUCUCGUCUUGCUAAGGAUAUACUUCAAUUAUUAAAUCCUUAGCCCAUGUGCUUGUUGCACCAGUACCCAGUACUCCCCUUUGUGAAAAUACAAUAUAAGGCAAUUAAAGAGAAAUUGUUCUUUCAACUGAAUCAUUUUAAGAAAAGAAGUAACACUCAUAAUAGUGUAUUCACUACAUAUUAGAGUGCAGGGAGAAAAGCUGAGUAAGACUAAUGAUUAGUAUGGAGUGAUAGAAAGAUACACCAGGGAAGCUACAAGAAGGACAAUUAGGGGAAAUGAGACAUCUCAGGAGGAUGGUAACAUGAGAAGAGAAAGAUGUAAAGAAUGGCAGUCAGAGGUUGGCCAAGCAACCUCAACAUCCCAAACUCAUAAAUUUGAGGUACAGAGACUCCUUCCCUCCAACCAGAGAAACUUUAUCUUUUGAAAAAGCCUAUCAAAAGGGGUAUUAGAAAAAAACAGACAGG